Long non-coding RNA from Homo sapiens (human), 350 nucleotides. The record is from Ensembl. NCBI's taxonomy places the organism in Eukaryota, Metazoa, Chordata, Mammalia, Primates, Hominidae.
CAGGGGAAAAAUCUGUGAUUGACCUGGCUGAGACCUUCGCCCCAUACGCUUCUGGGCAUCCCGAGAGAUCCAAGACUCUGGGGUCCAUCCGGGGAGUGGCUGUGGAGCAGCUAAGAGGGGAAGUGGGCAUUAGACAUGUCCUCUCUGGAAAGAAAAAGGUGAACACCCAGGAGAAGAGCUAGCAGGGAGAAGGAGGAGCGGGCCAAUCACGAAGGAGAAAGUCCUAGAUGGAGCCUUCUCAUCCUCAGAAACCACACUGGUUAAAUCAGUGGAUCUUAACUUUGGCUGCAUAUCGGCAUCACCACAGGAAGUUUCAAAAAUUCCAGUGCCUGAGUCCCACCACAGGGAUU